GUGCUCACUAGGAUGGCAGCACAUAUACUAAAGUUGGAGUGGAACAGAAUGAUAGCAUGGCCCUUAUGCAAGUAUGACACACAAAUUCGUUAAUCAGUCCAUAUUUUA
Mus pahari (shrew mouse) is the source of this 108-nucleotide small nuclear RNA. The record is from RefSeq and is a predicted model, not a curated record. NCBI's taxonomy places the organism in Eukaryota, Metazoa, Chordata, Mammalia, Rodentia, Muridae.